GUUACUAAAUAUGGGAGGUGCUCGGCGAUGCAGUACGGAGCUCAGUUUGGCCUCUGCAUUCCUCUGGAUGCUCCGCAAUUGUGUCACAUCCUCCAUAAUUUGGCUUUAAUGUAGGAACGAACAGAUGGAGACAGAUCCACAGUCCCCUCUCCGAUUUCAUCGUGGGGGACAACAAAACGGAGGAGAAUAUUGUGGUGUGCUUACUACAUUACUAUACUGAGUAUCACAUUGGAUGCAACAGUCAGGCUGGGCAAGAUUAAACUUGUUGGACAAUCUUUCAAAAUCGAAUUGCUCAACCAUCCAUGAUUCAAAAUGACAUGAGUGAGGUUUUAACUUGUAGUGAAUUAAAAGAUACAGGACAGCUACCUAACUUCCUCCUUGCAAUACGAUAUACAAUACAAUAUAAAAAGUAUGAUCAUGUUGCCAUUUUCAGGAUUUGUUUUUCUUCCAGAAACUAUGAGUGUACAUAUUUGACCAUUAGUCAUUCAGUCAUUAGUCUCUAUCAGCAACAGUUUCAUUUAAUUAUAGUUGACAGGAAAUUAUAGUUGACAGGAAAUGACAAGGCAUGUCUACACGUCUAUUCCAUUAUGUUGGCUAAUCGUUGCUUAAUCUUGUGUCUUAAAUAAUUAUCUGCACUAGUUUGAGCUAGUUCAGAAUCUGCAGACUGGAACCUGACUAAACCAAUAGUUGAAACAAGGUUAAAUGAAAUCCCCCCGGCCAUUAGUAUUGUUUUAGCAAAGAUUAUUUCCUGCUAGUGACAGACAUGCAGCAGCGUUUUCCUUUUUCAGUUUUUGUUUCAAUACAAUGGACCUCUUCAACAUAGGGGGGGGGGGGGGUGUCUAGAUGAUUCACUGUUUUGUUUACACUGGAAUUAUUUAAGUUUUCCUCAGAGAGGAAUAUUUUCAGUGAUGAAAUGACAGACAUGUGUUACACACAGUCAGAAAGCCUAUCCUAUCAGGCCCAGUAAUCCUCCUGCAACAUUCCUAGGAUUAGAUAACUGCCCAGCCCUUGGUUCAUUUACUGGCACCCUCUAUAUUAGCACCAGCCCUGGAUGUCUGUCUAUGGUCUCCUCCACAGUAGGCUCAGACAGGACAGGAGCUGUAAUCAGAGAGAAAUCUUUGAUUUCGUUUAUUCUUUCCAUCAGAAAUCAAAAAAGAGAUGGAGCUACUGAGGCCUGCACUUCUUAUUGUCUUUAUCUCAACAGCAAUCGCAAAACCAUUCAACAGGCCUGGACACCACAAUGGUCCACAGUUCAACAGGCCUGGACACCAUAAUGGUCCACAGUUCAACAGGCCUGGACACCACAAUGGUCCACAGUUCAACAGGCCUGGACACCACAAUGUUCCACAGUUCAACAGGCCUGGACACCACAAUGUUCCACAGUUCAACAGGCCUGGACACCACAAUGUUCCACGAAUCCACGAGUCCUCAGAAUCUGAUGAAUCAAGAAUGACACCAGGACCAACUGCUCCAACCACAGUGAACCCUCCCACUCCUGCCAUGUCAACUAUCCCACCAGUGACAGAAAUGUCCACGAAUGGGCCAAUUGUCAGUGAAAUGACACUGUCACCAGGGAACGUUACUGCACGUGUCACUGAGGACAUUACAACUCCCACUCCAGCAACUCCCCCUUCACCAACUAGAGGAGACAACUAAUAAUGAGAGAAUUCAUGAGAAUGCUUUAUUAUAAUUAUUCAAGAGUUUAUAAAUCAUUGCUUUUUUUAGGUCAUAAUUUUUUGUAUGGACUGUUUACAGUACCUGCAUUAUAUGAAAUAUCUUUCUUGGCAUUUUAUUUUUGUUUUUUAUGCAGCAGCAUUUCUAGGCAAUGUUAUCGAUAGCUUCAUAAUAACCCUAUCAGAAGCCCUGUAAUCUUUACUAGUUCAACAUAUGGUGGUAGUUACGGGUGUUUGGAUGUCUGUGAACUAGGUGAUCAUAAUCUGCUGGGUUUGAUAUAAACAAUUGUGAAUGUUUGAUUGUUUCAUUGAUAUUACUGUGUUAUGCUCCAGUAUGUCUCUCUACACACAGUAUGUAGUGACUUGCUCUUUGGAGUUUUAGGCUGGUUAUCUGUAAAGUACAUUGAGACAACUGCUGAUUUACAAAGGGCUUAAUAACAUACAUUUGAUUGAUUGAUUGAUAUUUGUUGUGAACUUGUGUACUCAAUAAAGAGAUAGAAAAAUACUUAAAUUGAGAAAA
This is a long non-coding RNA of Oncorhynchus kisutch (coho salmon), 2193 nucleotides long. RefSeq lists it as uncharacterized. Lineage: Eukaryota; Metazoa; Chordata; Actinopteri; Salmoniformes; Salmonidae. The record is from RefSeq and is a predicted model, not a curated record. The transcript is spliced from 2 exons.